This is a non-coding RNA of Equus caballus (horse), 2505 nucleotides long. NCBI's taxonomy places the organism in Eukaryota, Metazoa, Chordata, Mammalia, Perissodactyla, Equidae. The record is from RefSeq and is a predicted model, not a curated record.
AUACGUCAUCCUCAAUCCUGCUAGUUUCUUGAGAAGAAAUACCCAUCCCUGUUUGAGACACAGUGCUUGCUCUUAACUCAAGCAAGAGAAGUUCUGAAGCAAACCAAACGCGCACACCCUCGUGCUCUUGCACACAUAUUAAGAGAGAACUGAGCCUUCUGAUUUGAGGUAUGUGUGCUCCUUGGGAGAACACUGCGUCACAAUAGCCUCAUUCUUCCUGGUUUUAACUGUGUAAAAGUUCGAUUCUGCAGACUGGGAAGCAGCAGGCAUUGGAAAUAUAUCAAAAUCCCCAAUGGGUAACAACGUGUUACCCCUUACAGUCUGUGAGUGGGACAUACAUAUCCUUCCAAAAGAAGAAACUUACAAAAAACUUAGAUACAUCGCAACUUCAGGCCUCUGAGUAUCAGGGCUACAGACGCACAAAUGUCAGCUUCCUAAGUGGAGGCCUGGAACAUCUGUGACUUUAGAGGGCUGAGGAACAAGUUUAACAUCGUAGAAUUGGGCCUAUUAAAAUUUGUGAAGCUUUAAUGUUUGUGCAAGACUGAGGGGAAGUUGUCACAUUGUCUUGCUGGCUUCCAAGCACACCUAGCUUCCAUUGUGCUCACUAAGCAGCACACGCCUUCUCUUAGUGGUGGCUUGCUCAAGAAGUGCCUCAGGGCAACUAUCCUAAUUAGAAUCUAAUGAUGGUUCCCUCAUCUAAUCCCUAUUGAGCUGCUGUUAGUGCCAGGCACUGUGGUGAGCACUGGGGACAGAGCAGAGAAGCCAAUGGAGAGUCCCAGUCCUCUCACUUUACUAUGUUGAUUGGUGUGUGGUACCCAUGGUAUUGUAGCUAGGCAUGGUAGUUAGUGCUUUUCACCGUGUUUCCUAUGGAGUGCUUCCAAUGUAUUUGGAGGGAGGAAGCAGUCCAACUCUGGCCGGCUCUUCGAGUCUGGGAGGGUGCAGGGGGGCUCUUGCCUCAUGCGUACUGUGCUACAUGCACUUGGAGCAUAUGUCUCCUCUCUGUUUCCUGAACCCUGUUCUGUGGGAGCCCAUUGGUGAGGCUGAGUGUGGUGAAGCCAGAACAUGACCCAAGCAGAAUAUGCCAAGGGUAUUCACUGCUGGACCUCUGUUUUUAGACAGCUCAAUGGCAAACUCAGUGUGGUGCUGAUGACAUACUCAUUUCUGGUUUAGGUCAACACUCCAGUUCAUUGGGCAUGGUAUUAUCAAGGCCAAGUUGCAAAGUCUGAUUCCCCAGCAAGAUCAGUCAACUUUAGGAAUGUCUAAGAACUAUACCCACGAGUGGCCACCCCCUUGCUAGUCUGUACUUAUAACAGAAAGAUGGGCAAGACUCUGCUGAUGGGAAACUCUAACUCUUGCUGGAAAAUCAGUUCCAGGUUUGCUCUUCACAGAAGGCAACACUCAACUUGCUAUUUGCAUGCCUAGUGUCUAUUUCUAAUCAUCCCAGUGUCACAGUGGUCGACUCUAAGUCACUUCUGAACUGUCCCUAUUUAUGAUACAGCUGAACAUUAAUGGGGAACAAGGAAAGACCAAAUGUAAUCUCGAUUAUAAGAUAAUUUUAAUAACCUAUUUGUAGUCAUUUCUACUUAUGACAUUCCUCUUUAGAGCUGUUAACAAAUACCAAGAUGGAUUGAGUCAAUUCUUUCUCUCUUCUAUUAUUCCCUUCAUAGAAACAUAACUGGAUAUUUGUGAUUUAGCUGUAUCAUUUAAAAAACUUUUUUUGUAUAAAUCUAUUGAAUUUUCAGAAUUCCAAACAAAUUUUCGUUGCUGCACCUACUUUAAAAGUCAGAUUUAUAAGAAGAAGCAUGUGGUAGGAGCUCGUUUCUGUGUGACCAUAAUCGUGGGUGGUGGGUUAAGCAUAACAAAUGUUAAUAAAGGGUGCCAAAUUUGGUAAGGGUUAAAGAAGGCAAAAAAAGUGAAGUCACCCCUACACUACUUUUAAAUUAAGAGAGACAGGCGAAAGAAGGAUGAGGAAGUGAACAGAGCCUUUGGUCACUCAUUGAGCAUUUUUUGAUUCAUUGAAUGACAAAUGUUGGCUUACUUACUAUGGUAAACCUCUGUAUCUAUUUUCAAAUGUUUAAUACGAAUUUUCUUUUGUAAAUUUUGCUUUCCUUAGGACAAUGGUGAAGAAGUCAUCAAAAACAGGAUGUUUGUUCUGGUAAACGUUCUGUAUAUCUAAGUGUGUAUUUAGAAUUUUUAUUAUAUUAUUCUGGGAUAAUGUUCAGGAAUGAACAAGGAGGAGGUAGUGUGUGAUGAAAAAGGAAAGUAUAUCUAACAUCUGGGGCUUUUAACACCCAAACUAACAUCCUUAAAUUUGGACUUUGUGAAGUGUUUUUCAGUUUCUCAAUCUAUUAUGCCUAUUAUGGUACCUGGGCAAUCACGGUGAAGGAAAUUGAUCAUGUACCUUCAGAGUUACGCUGUGUGUGGAUAAUGCUAGAAGUUUCCCUACCUUUAAGACAGAUGCGACCACAAGAACAGAUUCACAGUCCAGGUUGGAAUUCUCGGCUG